Molecule: long non-coding RNA, 436 nt
Filed under: Mytilus galloprovincialis (Mediterranean mussel)
Lineage: Eukaryota; Metazoa; Mollusca; Bivalvia; Mytilida; Mytilidae
Source: RNAcentral
UUAAGAGAUAACUGUAUUGUAUUUGAAGCUUUAAGGACGUCCAUCGGUAGUUUUACUGUCGCAAAUUUAGUUUACCUGGCGACGCGGAGCGGAGACAGGUAAACGGGUAUUUGCGACAGUAAAACUACCGAUGGACGUCCGCAAAGCUUCAAAUACAAUACAGUUAUCUCUAUUCUAAUGCAAAACAAGUUCAUAAUUAAAUUUCAAUCAUUAUUUCAGUGUAAAAUCUUCAUUAAAGAAAAUUCCGCGAAAAGAUGUUAUCUUCUUUGGUCCCUACACUAGGUGACGUCAUAGGUAUGCUUCCGGCGUCAAACAUAAACACCGGGCGUUUUCUGGCUUCUCUGCCGCUUCAAAAUGUAAUAAAUUUUGAUAAAAAGAAAAAUUUUAGGCGCAACAAGUGAGUUUUUUUGUUUAUUAUUGUAGAAAUAACAUAUCA